UGGAGGAGAGAGGGAAGGUUAAUCAUGGUGAAAAUGAAGAAAGAUUUAUAGUUGGCCCCUUUGGGGAAAAUGACAAGAGACAGCUCUCAAGAUAUUCCUUUCUUUUUAGAGGGCUUUUAUUCAUCAAAUGCCAGGUCUUAGCAACAUAUUCAGGAGCCACAUUCUACUACUUAUAAAGAAGAGGAAGUGGCCAUCUUCAGCCAUUAGGCAGGAACAAUGCCAACAUUGAAGCCCUCAGUUGGAGGCUGCACAGUUGGAGAUCUUUGGUGCCAUUUUAGACAUCUUUGGAUUUCAUCAAUCAAACUGACUGCAAUUUUCCAUAAAACCCCCUGAAUUUGGGUCAGAAAGUGGGCAAAGCAGAUAAAGAUCAUUGGAGCUGUCUUAUGAGAUGAUAAAUAGAUAGCCUUUCAGGCCAACAAUGCGCGAAAGUGCAUUUCCCCCCCUUUUUGGUAAUUCACCCCCAAACGGAUUUGAAUGCAGCGAGUCUAAACAAUUUCUCCAUGUUUUCCCAUGGUUUAGAAGAUGUCUUCGCAGACUUGUCAAUAGUAACUUGACCCCCUUCCUCCACAGAGUUAGCAAAGGUUUUUUCCCCCCAGAAUACAGAAAAGUUCCCCACCCCCAGCCCUUCAGGAACUAAAACAAAUAGUGCAAUAUUUUUCCUUAUCCCAAGAAUAAAAAGAUUGUAGGUA
Molecule: long non-coding RNA, 689 nt
Organism: Hemicordylus capensis (graceful crag lizard)
Lineage: Eukaryota; Metazoa; Chordata; Lepidosauria; Squamata; Cordylidae
Exons: 2
Source: RefSeq, a predicted model, not a curated record